RNAcentral lists this unclassified non-coding RNA (21 nucleotides) under Trypanosoma brucei. RNAcentral describes it as "hsp83". The record is from RNAcentral. Lineage: Eukaryota; Euglenozoa; Kinetoplastea; Trypanosomatida; Trypanosomatidae.
AACAGUUUCUGUACUAUAUUG